AUGAACGCACAGGAGGCGUGCCAAUGGCACGCCCCAGCCACUACCACAUUGUCUCCUAUGUACUUUACCUCCUUUGCUCCUGGUAUCAUCCCAUACUCCGGCUUCGCCACCGAGGUAUUGCAGAUCUACUCCUUCAAAAUCUUUGAUCUAGAUGACAGCUUGAAUUGGCCACUCUAUGUGUACGGCGUAGUUGCUGCUCGAGACUCUGUGGAUGGUAACCGCAACCUUCUCUUCUCUCGCUCCAGCGCUAACUGCCAAGUACUCACUGAAAAGGAAAUAGAGGGGCUCAGUGUCUGGCAGUCUCCUGUUUCGACCUUCUAA
Molecule: ribosomal RNA, 321 nt
Filed under: Triticum aestivum (bread wheat)
Lineage: Eukaryota; Viridiplantae; Streptophyta; Magnoliopsida; Poales; Poaceae
Description: partial small subunit ribosomal RNA
Source: RNAcentral